RNAcentral lists this transfer RNA (69 nucleotides) under Rattus norvegicus (Norway rat). It matches the Rfam family "tRNA". From Rfam's summary of the family: Transfer RNA (tRNA) molecules are approximately 80 nucleotides in length. Their secondary structure includes four short double-helical elements and three loops (D, anti-codon, and T loops). Lineage: Eukaryota; Metazoa; Chordata; Mammalia; Rodentia; Muridae. The record is from Rfam by way of RNAcentral.
GGGGAUUUGGCUCAGUGGAAGAGCGCUUGCCUAGUAAGCGCAAGGCCCUGGGUUCAGUUCCCAGCUCCG